Molecule: long non-coding RNA, 1726 nt
Organism: Scylla paramamosain (green mud crab)
Lineage: Eukaryota; Metazoa; Arthropoda; Malacostraca; Decapoda; Portunidae
Exons: 3
Source: RefSeq, a predicted model, not a curated record
AAAAUGACGGGAAAUAAGGUAGAAAUGCCGGAAUUAGGUAUCAUGGCGGUGGCGUCACUUGGGCAGUUGUAAAGAAACGGCGCCAGUUUGUGUAUUUGUGAUUUUUAAGGGAAGUAAAGGCGUGGGGGGCGUGUGCGUGUGUGCGUGCGUGCGUGUGCGUGUGCGUGGGCGUGUGGGGGCGCGGGGGUGCGUGUGGGGGAGUCCUAGGGGGCGGUUGCCGGUAAGUGUGAAUUUUAUGAUAAUUUUUUGAUAUUUUUUUGAAAUUAUUUCCAGAUUUGUGUUUGUUUUGUGUGUUUGUUGUUGUUGUUGUUGUUAUUGUUGUUGUUGUUGUGUUUUGUUAAGAUUAGGUUAAGGUUAAGUUAGGUUAAGUUAGGUUAGGUUUACGUAAUCUUAGGCUAAGUUAAGUUAGGUUAAAUUGAUGUUAGGUUAGGUUAGGUUAGAUUCACGUAAGGUUUGUUUAGGUUAGGUUAGGUUAAGUUAAAUUGAAUUAGUGUUAAGUCAGGUUAGGUUAGGUUAAAUUGAAUUAGUGUUAGGUUAGGUUAGGUUAGGUUAGGUUGUUAAAUUGAAUUAGUGUUAGGUUAGGUUAGGUUAAAUUGAAUUAGUGUUAGGUUAAGUUAGGUUAGGUUAGGUUAGGUUUGGGUCACGUGAGGUUAAGUUUGGGUUACUUUAGGUUAAGGGAAGGCUUGGUUAGGUCAGGUCAGGUAGCUGUUAGGUGAGGUUAGGUUAGGUUAAGUUAGGUUAGGUUAGGUGAGGUUAGGUUAGGUUAAGUUAGGUUAGGUUAGGUUAAGUUAGGUUAGGUUAGGUUAAGUUUGGGUUACUUUAGGUUAAGGGAAGGCUUGGUUAGGUCAGGUCAGGUAGCUGUUAGGUCAGGUCAGCUUAAAUAGGAUUUGGUUUAAACUGAAAGGAAAAAAAAUAAAUAUCAUAUCUUUAAUUCUUGGCUAAUGUGUUUAUAAUGUAGUGUACAUGUUGAAUUACUUGAUAUAGUGUGUGUUUGUAGUGUAGUUCAUAUAUUUAAUUCUUGGCUAAUGUGUGUGUGUGUGUGUGUGUGUGUGUAUGUGUAUGUGUGUGUGUGUGUGUGUGUGUGUGUGUGUGUAGUAUACAUUUAAUACCUCCUAGUGUUUGUAGUUUAGUUUACUCACACAUGGUUCUGGAUGCUGUGGUGACCUUGAGAGUCUGGCAGGUCACACGGCUCUGGACACUGAAAAAUGACCUAAACCAACUUUAACGACCUAACGACCCUCUCUUCCUUACAGCCUGAACGAAAAAUAACCCUAAAAUACUCUUAAAAAUGUAAAAUGACCUAAACCAACCUUAACGACCUAACGACCCUCUCUUCCUUACAGCCUGAACGAAAAAUAACCCUAAAAUACUCUUAAAAAUGUAAAAUGACCUAAACCAACCUUAACGACCUAACGACCCUCUCUUCCUUACAGCCUGAACGAAAAAUAACCCUAAAAUACUCUUAAAAAUGUAAAAUGACCUAAACCAACCUUAACGACCUAACGACCCUCUCUUCCUUACAGCCUGAACGAAAAAUAACCCUAAAAUACUCUUAAAAAUGUAAAAUGACCUAAACCAACUUUAACGACCUAACGACCCUCUCUUCCUUACAGCCUGAACGAAAAAUAACCCUAAAAUAAUUAAAAACGACAUGAAACGACUUAAAAAACGAUCUUUAACUACCAUAACGACUUAAAUUCGCCUUAACGAUCUAACGACCCUCUCC